Molecule: non-coding RNA, 161 nt
Organism: Cajanus cajan (pigeon pea)
Lineage: Eukaryota; Viridiplantae; Streptophyta; Magnoliopsida; Fabales; Fabaceae
Source: Rfam
AUACUUACCUGGAUGGGGUCAAUGGGUGAUCAAGUAGACUCAUGGCCUAGGGGAGUGACCUCUAUUGCACUUUGGAGGGGUGCUUCUCUAAGGUCUAUCCAAGUGGUAGAGCCUACAUCAUAAUUUGUGAUAGUAGGGGCCUGCGUUCGCGCGGCCCCUUC